This is a long non-coding RNA of Pyrus x bretschneideri (Chinese white pear), 1553 nucleotides long. RefSeq lists it as uncharacterized. The record is from RefSeq and is a predicted model, not a curated record. The transcript is spliced from 3 exons. NCBI's taxonomy places the organism in Eukaryota, Viridiplantae, Streptophyta, Magnoliopsida, Rosales, Rosaceae.
AAUUUGCGACAUCUUUAAUUCACUUUUAUGUAAAAGCACAAACACAUACGUUUAUCCAGCCGGCAUAUGCUUUUGCAAUCGCUAUCAUGCCUUAAUUGAUCUUUGGUUUGCGAUCUCAAUGCAUGCAUGCAAUUAACUUUGGGGUAGUCUCCAUCCCCACUGUACUUUGACUGUUGUUUGACCCUUGCAACUGUGGAGUUUACGUGGGCAACAAAUGAUGUAUACUUUGUUGUUGCAGAUUUCGUUAACUAAAACUUUUCAAUAAACGCUCUUUAGUUUGCAUAACUUAUUCAUGUUGAGUGAUAUCCAUCUAAAUGAUCUAUGUGUCUUUCUGUCCAUGCUAUUCAUGGAUACCCUGCAUUAUGAUGAUCCUAAUGCAUUUUCUAGAUUGCUCACAAGAUUGACAUUAGUAGUCAUGGUUGUCUAACACAAGAAUAUCCUCCUCUUGCACAAUUUCAAAAUUGAUGUUAUUGUGGAAGAUAACACAAAUCAACACAAUUUCCUCAUGAUAGGAAGACACGCCGAAAAAAUACUUUGUGUUUCUUGCCACACUUCGAUGAUGGAAGAAGGAUAUGACGAUCCUUUUGUGGCGCCACCAUUCUUGCAAAUUUGGUGGGCCAAUCAAAAACAUUUCAAGUCUCUUUUGGAAAUCAGAACAGCAACUUUGGAAAGACAUUUCAAUGUUCACGGAUUGCUUGAAGAUAAGCCACUGUCCGAGCCAGCAAUCCCCUCAAUCAAACCACAAACGCCCACUCCCACCACAGCAAAAAAAAAAAAUAUCAAUCAAGUCACUCUGCCCCAUUGACACCUUCCCAACCAUUGGAUCAACAACCCCGAUCAAUUGCAGCCGCUAGGACUUUGAAAAGAACGUUGUUCCCUGAUCAACCAAACACAUCAGCCAGCAAAAAACCUCGCACCAAGCAAACAACCACAACAAAUGCUGACAGAAUUGCUGCAGAAUUCCACAAUCUGGUUGUCCCCAAGAUCAAACCUGCCGACAAAGUUCCAAUUGCUGCCCUCAAAACAAAAACUCAGCCCAAAAAAACAAAGAUAGUGUGGAAGAUCUUCGGUCCCAGAAAAAGUGAACAGCCAUGCUCUCCGUGAUUGAAUGCUACACACCAUGCUGCAUAUUUUUUUGUUUUAACAUCUAUGGUUGACGACUUACUUGUGCAAACACCACUUUUCCUGUGUUUUGCUAUCUGCUAAGUGAGGUAUGUAGGUUGCAGAGCAUAUAUUUUGUCGUCUUAACUGCAGAGGCAAAAUAUGUGUAAACUGCAGUUUGCUUCUGUUUCUUCAGUUUCAUAUGAAAACAGACUUUUCUGUUUUUUUGCCUUUGAACAAUUGUGGUUCAAAAAUUAGCUACUUGAACAAGCCCUCAACACUUUCUAUGUUAUAUUUCCUGUUGAACUACCUGCCUACACUACAGGACACAUGUUAUAUGUGUGAACUAAAUGUUUCUUCUGUUUCUUAAGUAAACAGAAGUUUUUUGGAAACCAUCUCUUUCUAAUCAAACACGUACAGUUUCUUCCCACUCAUUGUGCAAUGUGUUUAUA